RNAcentral lists this ribosomal RNA (305 nucleotides) under uncultured bacterium. RNAcentral's name for it is "bacterial SSU rRNA". It matches the Rfam family "Bacterial small subunit ribosomal RNA", at positions 339 to 662 of the family's 1533-position model. The record is from RNAcentral.
CUGCGCCGGCAGCAGUGGGGGAUAUUGCACAAUGGGGGGAACCCUGAUGCAGCGACGCCGCGUGGGCGAUGGAGCGCCUCGGCGCGUAAAGCCCUAUCAACAGGGAAGAAGAUGACGGUACCUGACUAAGAAGCCCCGGCUAAAUACGUGCCAGCAGCCGCGGUAAUACGUAUGGGGCAAGCGUUAUCCGGAUUUACUGGGUGUAAAGGGAGCGCAGGCGGCCUGGCAAGCCUGAUGUGAAAUACCGGGGCCCAACCCCGGGGCUGCAUUGGGAACUGCCAGGCUGGAGUGCCGGAGAGGCAGGG